This 433-nucleotide long non-coding RNA is filed under the name Solanum tuberosum (potato). RNAcentral's name for it is "long non-coding RNA (STUB_LNC002786)". The record is from RNAcentral. Lineage: Eukaryota; Viridiplantae; Streptophyta; Magnoliopsida; Solanales; Solanaceae.
ACAGGCUGAAGCUUUUGAUCCUUUUAAGAGGUCUAGCAGGACUUCAUCUACUAGCAGUGAGGGAGAAACAAAGUCAGCUGAUAUUUCCUUUUCCCAGGGGGAAACUGGGUUCAACAUACCUACACCCUGCACCACGGGGAAAACUGCACUUUCAGUCAUCAACCAGCGUACUGAACUGGAAGCUAUAACCACCGACUGUCGUGCAGCACCUGGAAACAUGACUUAUGGUGGACCAGUUCAGGGAUUCACAAAUGUUAAUCAAGGUAGCAGCAUGGGGACUGCAUGCGGACAUUCAAACACGAAUGAUUCCCCUUUCACCGGGAAUACAUUGUCUGAAAGCCAGUGUAUAUACUCAGGGGAGAGGUCUGGUGGUCCAAGAGACUGGGUUAUUCCAGUAGGGGACUCGGGAUUUGGAAGGGAUAGGUAAUUGUAG